ACAAACUGGUUGAGGAGUGUGUUUUGCGCUAUGGCAGUAGGCUCGGAAGUGUCGGCUCACCUGCUGCCGAACGACUGCUGCUUUAUUUGCCAUGUCAUAGAGGGGAGGGUGGAUGAGGGAGUAAGGAGACCGAUGUAAAGGGCACUUUCUGCAGUGUCCAAGGGGCAGUUGCCAAUCAGCCAUUUAUGGAACACCUACUGUGUGUGUCAGACACCGAGGUUUUGGAAUGGACAUCUCUGCCUCCAUGAGAGUUUAUAGUCUAAAGAGGCAGAUUAACCAAGUGCCUUUAUUGCUUUUGGCCUCCCUUCCUCCCCUUCGCCUUAGAUGGAGAUUUCUCUCCCCGAACCCUGAGCCAUUCGGUCGUCCCCGCCUGGCUCUGGCGCGGAGACCGGGCGCCACGGCGUCGGCGCCAACCUCGUCUCCCAGGGCAGGGUAGUGACGGGCGCGGACCGGCGCCGCGGUCACGUGAGGGCGGAGCUUGGCGAGCGCGCGACUUCCCGGUAGGCCGGCUCUCCGCUUGCCCCCUCGGACCCGCGGCUUCGUCACCAGCUUUUAUUGGGCACGUGGCGGCUGAUGCGCAAUAAAUAGGAGUGACUCUGGGCAGCCACGCUGCUUAGGUGGGGACCACACUUCUCGAGAGACCGAACUGCCCGAAGCGAGGCUUAAGAGCUGUAAGUACGUGGGAACAAGUACAAAGCUCCCUCCCAGCCGGACUUGAGGGGGAGAUAGCGCCUUCUGCAAAUCAAACCAACAGGAAGCAAUGAAUCCUGGGCCCCCAGACUGAUCUGAACUAGACCUAGCAGGGAACUCUGAGUCCCUGUGGAAAGAACCUGAGAGCCACCUCUUCCUUCUAGGGCUUGGGUUUACCAACUGUGAAAUAGGGCAGCGGACUCAAAGUGCCCCUUAAGCGAGCAGGGACACAAAAUGAUUUAACUCUGCAAACAGAAACAAGCAGUCUGUAUUGGCUCCAGUAGGAGCCACUUUGAGGCCUGGGGUGGGGUCGCCCUUUCACAUCCGCUGGCUGUUCCUGAAACAAGUUUCCACAAUCACAAGGCUGGAAAAGUUACUCAGCCCAUGGGACUGAAGAGUGAGUCAGAAGAACAUGAGCUACAGGGAACUGGCCUGGCCUCCUUGGCUGGAACAAUCAGAUACCACCCUUCGCUUCCUGCCUCCCAAGAUCCAUCUCUUGGGGAGUAUGAGCCUCGUGGGUGCUAAUUCUUCAGUGGACCAACAGCUAAACCUAGGAAACGAACGCGCACCGGCUUCUCAACACCACUGCAUGUAGCGCUCCUUCAGGGGCUGGUCCUGGAGUUGGAAAGAAGCUGCAGAAAGGCCACCAUGCCCAUGAGGAAAAAAAUCCUUCAGGUAACCUGCACCAUGAAUGGUUUCUUGUCUUCAGAAAAACCUCCCUACUCACGAGGUGACUGCACCCUGCUGGUCCAAACAGGAUGACCAUCUAUCAAUACCAUGUACACCUCCAACUCAGUUCGUCUGAAAUGAAACUCAUCUCUUCCCGACAUACCUGGUGACACUGGAGCCACUGCCAGUCACUAGUCCAAGCACAAGUUUGGGGAGUCAUCAACCCUCCUCCCAUUCCUUCUGCUUCUACCUUCACCAGGCAAUUUCCAAUUUCUGUUAUUCCACCCGUUAAAUAUCUACUAACCUCAUUCUCUCAUUUGUAAAUGAUCCCCAUUGGGACUCAAUUCUGCAUUCUUACACCUGGUUCUCCCCAUUACUGUCAGAGGGUACGGGCACUGAUAGCUUUCUGAAAUGCAAAUCUGAUCAAGUCCCUCCUCUACUUAAAAUCUUUUGACAACAAAAGAUCUUAUGCAGAAUAAAGUCCAAAGCAGCAAUGCCCUUCACAAUGAGGCUUCUCUGUACCUCUUCAACUUUAUCUGAUAUUCCUUUGACCUGAACCAUAGUAUUAGAUUUCCUAAAUGCACUGUUCUCUCCACACCUUACAUGCUAUUCCUGAUAACAGAAAUGCCUUCCCUGUCCUCAUUUGCCCAGGAAACUCCCAUAUCUUUAAAUCCAGCUCAAACACCUCCUCCAAGAAGCCUCCGCUGGUCUCUACUGGCUUGGAUUUGGGCGUGCCUCACCUUUGAUCCCACAGCCCACUCAUAUCCUUUCUAUGAGAUAUUUAACACAGGCUGCUGACUCAAGUGUUAACUGUUGGUUCACUUGGCUCCCCAACAAACUGAGUUGCCUAAAAGCAGAUAGAUGUACCAUUCCUCUCUAAAUCUCCAGUGCCUAAUAAAGGGUUUCACACAAAGUAGGUGCUUAGUACAUGUCCGUUGCAUUUUAGACAAGAAUGGCAUGAAGGACCUGUUAAGGAACUGGGCUUCCUGGUCAGCCUCAGAGUCCAAGUGAUGCACAGCAGGGGUGCAUGGGCUAAGCCUGGAAAAGAGUGUGUUGGCUCUUUGAAGGCCCUGGGCAUAAAAAGCCAAGAAGUUUGGGCUUUAUACAGUGGGCAGUCCUUGAGGUGUUAAGAUGACCAGAGCUGUGCCAAGGAUGGGAGGGCGGACUGGAGGACAGGAGGCUGGGGUGAGGGAACAGGCAGCUCUAAUCGCUCCAUCACAGUUGAUGAAACAGUGACUCAGCAAGAUUGUGGCUCUGCAACUCCAAUUCCACGGCCACACAACUGGUGUGGCAGAACUAGGAGUUGAACCAGUUCUGGACUGUGCCAAGUGCAGAGCUCUUUGUAUCUCACCACAAGGAGUAUGCAGUAAAUGGGGCUUCAGGGUUGUCCAAGUGUGAAUGGAUACUCCUUCGGUCAGGAUAGGAUAGGUUAGAUUGCAGACACAAUACUGAAAUCUGUGUGGCUUAACACAUUUAUUUUCUGUUCACACAAAGUCCACUGUGGUGCUGGACACCACCUUAAGGCAGCUGAGCAAUCCAGGCUGCUCUGAUGUACUUCCACAGUUCCUACAGUAGGGGAAGAGCACUUGGAAAUCAUGUCCCAGCUUGAUAUCCGAAGUCACACACAUUACUUGCCAUUACAGUCUCGGCCAGAACAAGUCCAGUAACCUUGGUUGACUAGAGUGACUGGAAAACAGUCUUCUGUGUGUCCAGGAAGGGGAAGAGAACGAGAUAUUUGUGGACAGUAGUACUGCCUGAACUCAGGACAUCAGGGGGCGGUGCCUACAGAGAAGGAGGGGCAGGCCAAACAGUCUGAGGAACUGAUAGGAGAGGUACAAAGAGAGAGGCUUUGCUUAGGAUUUGCGUGUUAGGUCAGGGCUGUUCUGGUCACCUCAUGGGCAUAGGUGAGCAGAACGUACGUCACAUCAGUGGGUUCUCAACUGUAGCAAUGUGUCAGGAAGCUCAGAGACUCCUAAGGACAGAAGAGAGGAGGACCUCAUUCAACAGGCUGAUGGGAGGCCUCAGUUGUCCCAGGCCUCUCCACAGAGCUGCUUCAGUGUCUUGGCAAGGCAUCUGCUUCCCCCAGGGCAAAUGAUGAGAGAGGUGGAAGCCAGGACUUCACCUCAGAAGUCGAAUACCAUCACUUUUGCCCUAUUUUAUUGGUCAUAUGUACCAAACAUGACUCACCGUGACAGAGGCUUGCAUAAGGGCAUGAGGACCAGAUUGGGUAACUGGAGACCAGCUGAGAAGCUGCUGCCCAGGCACCAGCAGGGGAGCCUCAUCUGGAGGUUAGUGUCUUCUUAAACCCUUGCUGCCAAGCUCAUCUUUAAUCUGUGAGGUGAAGUCUGCAAUGAGCCUAGGAAGGAGGCAGGACUGGUCCUGAUCACAUUUUACAGAUGAGGAACCCAAGACAUGAAGACAUUCUAUGGCGCCUGACUCCCAAGCGCCCUUGCUGCAGCCUGCAUGUGCCGGGACCACAGCAUUCGCCAUGCAGCGAAGGCCUCUGUGGCACAUGCAUGUGAGCCUGCUUCACUCCAUCUUUGCCUCCACAGCACCCGGCAUGGGCUGGAGACAGGAGUGGCUGAAACCCUGUUAGUGGGCCUGAGGAGAUUGGCCGUGGAAGUUUCCCGCAGCAGAAGGCCCUGUACCACGCUGCUCCCACCACCACACACCAUCCUAUUCCUGACUUGGCAGGUAUGUUUUUCUUAUGUCCUAGGAUCCCUCCUAUGGCUUCUAGCCCGAUAGCCCUCCCUGAUCCUGGGGCUGCCCCUGCUUCCGAUUGUGCACCUGGAGGAAAUUUUCACCUGGUAACUCCAC
Long non-coding RNA from Manis pentadactyla (Chinese pangolin), 4176 nucleotides. RefSeq lists it as uncharacterized. The record is from RefSeq and is a predicted model, not a curated record. The transcript is spliced from 3 exons. Lineage: Eukaryota; Metazoa; Chordata; Mammalia; Pholidota; Manidae.